GAGUUUGAUCCUGGCUCAGGACGAACGCUGGCGGCGUGCUUAACACAUGCAAGUCGAACGGAGUAUUCACGAAAGAGGUUUCGGCCAAUGGAGUGAAUUACUUAGUGGCGGACUGGUGAGUAACGCGUGAGGAACCUGCCUUUCAGUGGGGGGACAACAGUUGGAAACGACUGCUAAUACCGCAUAACACAUUUGAGGGACAUCCCUUGAAUGUCAAAGAUUUAUUGCUGAAAGAUGGCCUCGCGUCUGAUUAGCUAGUUGGUGAGGUAACGGCCCACCAAGGCGACGAUCAGUAGCCGGACUGAGAGGUUGACCGGCCACAUUGGGACUGAGAUACGGCCCAGACUCCUACGGGAGGCAGCAGUGGGGAAUAUUGGGCAAUGGACGAAAGUCUGACCCAGCAACGCCGCGUGAAGGAAGAAGGCUUUCGGGUGUAAACUUCUUUAAGGGGGAAGAGUAGAAGACGGUACCCCUUGAAUAAGCCACGGCUAACUACGUGCCAGCAGCCGCGGUAAG
RNAcentral lists this ribosomal RNA (516 nucleotides) under bacterium enrichment culture clone ALO1_GLFRUDD03FW8PY. RNAcentral's name for it is "bacterial SSU rRNA". It matches the Rfam family "Bacterial small subunit ribosomal RNA", at positions 9 to 524 of the family's 1533-position model. The record is from RNAcentral.